This 737-nucleotide long non-coding RNA is filed under the name Salmo salar (Atlantic salmon). Its description in RNAcentral is "lncRNA (ENSSSAG00000119691.1)". The record is from RNAcentral. Lineage: Eukaryota; Metazoa; Chordata; Actinopteri; Salmoniformes; Salmonidae.
GAAUUUGGCGCCCUGCACUUUCAAUGGAUAUUGGUCAGGAGGGACGGUAGCGUCCCAUCUAGCCUAGAGUUAACACUCUGUCUGUCCAUCGGCAGUGAGCUGUCCCACAGUGCCAUAACGGUCCACAUGUUUAGCACACUCCUGCUGAGGCCUGGAGACUGGUGAUAGAUUAGCUCAGGCGGCUUUAUUCCAUGCUUAGUCCUCAGGUUGAACCAGGAUGACAUGAAUCAGGGGGCUGAAUUACAUUCUCAGUCCUCAGUUUGAACCAGGAUGACAUGAAUCAAGGGGCUGAAUUACAUUCUCAGUCCUCAGUUUGAACCAGGAUGACAUGAAUCAAGGGGCUGAAUUCCAUUCUCAGUCCUCAGGAUGAACCAGGAUGAUAUGAAUCAGGGGGCUGAAUUCCAUUCUCAGUCCUCAGGUUGAACCAGGAUGAUAUGAAUCAGGGGGCUGAUUUCAAGGCUGUUUAUCCCAAGGUGCUCUUUAGAACUGGAGUUGGAGAGCUCCGUAGUUAAGUUACACCCCGACAGCUUUACUCAACAACGUGGCAGUCUGUUGCUUGUGAGAGCUAAGACAUUAGGAUGAUAUAUUGUACAGACAACAAUCAAUGUGCUGUAAUUCCAUCUUAAUCAUCGUCAUCAACAAUAUAAACACUCGGAAAUGAGGACCGCUGACAAUCACAAUGACAUUGAUUACCUGUUUGUUGUGAGUGAGUGAUUGAGAGAGUGUGUGUGUGUGUG